RNAcentral lists this long non-coding RNA (954 nucleotides) under Solanum tuberosum (potato). Its description in RNAcentral is "long non-coding RNA (STUB_LNC010265)". Lineage: Eukaryota; Viridiplantae; Streptophyta; Magnoliopsida; Solanales; Solanaceae. The record is from RNAcentral.
UAUUUCACAUCACAUAAUAUUCCUAAAAAAAAGCAUAAGAAUUUCCAAAAUAUACAACAAUGUUUAAUACAUUCCCAAACAAAAUAGUGAGGCUGCACCCCAGUUAUACAUUCCUUUCGUUUUACAAACCCUUGUUAAUUCUAAACUUCGUUCACGAAGGAACUGAGCAUAAAUGCAGUAUUGUCAUGCUCUACUUCCUCUUCAGUUCUUUCAACAUUGUCUUCACCUUGUCAACGUUUUCAUAGCUCAGCAUCUUCAUCAACACUUCUCUUUCAACAAUCUCUUACAACUCGCCGUUCCACUCAACUGUAAUUGAAUCUUCUCUCUAUACUCAAUCUGAAAAAGUUAAGUGUAUCAUCAGGCUGAUACCAAUUGUCUUCACAAAUUCAGAAAAAGAGGAAAGUUGGUGACCAGAGUCUCUGUAAGGAAAAUGAGGAAUGCAGAAGGAGAACUUCAUAGUACUCCACUGAUGAUCGAGCACAUCCAGCUAAAAUGGUCCUUAUAUGAGUGCCAAAAAAUGUCUUUGAAGGUACUGUAGAUUGCUUCAGAGGACAUAAUAUAUUCAGAAUUUAAUACGUCACAACUGUAACGUACUAGAAAGGUGUAAAAGAGAACAUACCUAUCAAAAUCAUAAACAUUCAUGAUCACUCAGUUUAUCUGUAAUACAAAUUUUUGAGAGGAGAUAUAGAUUUAGAUUUGCUCAAUGUACAUCAAUCAAACAAUAUGAAAAAAGAUACAAAUAGUAUAGUUAUCUGGUGCUUCAAUAUUUGACAGAUGAAACAGAGUUCUAAACUCUGCAAACAUGUAAUAAUUCCUUGGAGUGAUGUAUCAAUAGAUAGAGGGAUCAUCCUAGAGCAAUGUAGCCAACACAAUCUAGUAUAUGCACUAUAUCCUGAUUAGUCAAGAACUUCAAAAAGAUGGCCUGAACUUUGGACUUACUGGAGCAAUUUAAAC